AAUGAACGCUGGCGGCAUGCCUAACACAUGCAAGUCGAACGAGACAUUCGGGCCUAGUGGCGCAUGGGUGCGUAACGCGUGGGAACCUGCCCUUAGGUUUGGAAUAACUCCCCGAAUGGGGUGCUAAUACCGGAUAAUGUCUCCGGACCAAAGAUAUAUCGCGUUUGGAUGGGCUCGCGUGGGAUUAGUUUGUUGUUAGGGUAAAAGCCUACCAAGGCGACGAUCCAUAGCUGGGUUGAGAGGAUGAUCAGCCACACUGGGAUUAAGACACGGCCCAGACUCCUACGGGAGGCGGCAGUGGGGGAUAUUGGACAGUGGGCGGAGGGCUGAUGGAGCAAUGCCGCGAAAGUGAUGAAAGCCUUGAGGAAGUAAAGCUCUUUUACCCGGGAUGGUAUUGACAGUACCGGGAGAAUAAGCUCCGGCUAACUCCGUG
Molecule: ribosomal RNA, 433 nt
Filed under: uncultured bacterium
Lineage: Bacteria
Description: partial 16S ribosomal RNA
Rfam family: Bacterial small subunit ribosomal RNA
Source: RNAcentral